This 586-nucleotide ribosomal RNA is filed under the name Toxomerus mutuus. RNAcentral's name for it is "eukaryotic LSU rRNA". Lineage: Eukaryota; Metazoa; Arthropoda; Insecta; Diptera; Syrphidae. The record is from RNAcentral.
AGUACGUGAAACUGCUUAGAGGUUAAACCCGAUGAACCUGAAUAUCCAUUAUGGAAAAUUCAAUGCUAAUAUUGCAAUAUAUAUCAUAUUUGUAAAAGUAGUGUGCAAUUUUUCCAUAUAAGGACAUUGUAAUCUGUUAAUGUAAUAAUUAUUUAUCAAAAGAUUCUUUACUUAAGUUUAUUCAAAUUGUUUAUUUUCGGAUAUUCAACAUAAAAUAAAUGUAUUGAAUUAGAUAAAUCAUUGACAGAUAUAAUUAUAUAAUGUGCUCAAAUUCUAAGGAAUUUUACAAUGAUAAAUGAAUCUAUUGAUUUGUUUAUUUAUUUGUUUGCACUAUUAUGAUUAACAAUGCGAUAGAUUCAGGAUACCUUCGGGACCCGUCUUGAAACACGGACCAAGGAGUCUAACAUAUGUGCAAGUCAUUGGGUAUUUAUAAUAAAACCCAAUGGCAUAAUUAACUUAACUUUAUUUAUAAUGGGAUUAGUUUAUAAUUUAUUAUGAAUUAUUUAUUCAAUCCCGGGGCGUUCUAUAUAGUUAUGUAUAAUGGUAUUUAUAUUAUUUAUACCUCUAACUAGAGCGUACCUUGAGC